UUAAAAAGAAAAAAAGAAAAAAAUACCCAGGAAGAUAGAAAUGGAGUUGCUAGGUUGGUAAUAAUAACUCAAGAAAUUUAGAGAAAAAAAUGCUAAUUUUGUUUAUUUUACUGUUUAAAAAUUCCAUGCUGGAAGACAGCAACUCAGCAAGGUGGAGGAUAUGUCUGUACCAUGGAAUAAUACAAAUCUGUAACCUUACAACUGGUCUGGCCUCAGAGAUACAUUGGAUGCCUUCACUGAAAGAGAGCAGUACAUGGGGAUGCUGA
Molecule: long non-coding RNA, 266 nt
Filed under: Phasianus colchicus (ring-necked pheasant)
Lineage: Eukaryota; Metazoa; Chordata; Aves; Galliformes; Phasianidae
Description: lncRNA (ENSPCLG00000002529.1)
Source: RNAcentral